This 484-nucleotide ribosomal RNA is filed under the name uncultured bacterium. RNAcentral describes it as "partial 16S ribosomal RNA". It matches the Rfam family "Bacterial small subunit ribosomal RNA", at positions 30 to 507 of the family's 1533-position model. The record is from RNAcentral.
AUUGAACGCUGGCGGCAGGCCUAACACAUGCAAGUCGAGCGGAUGAAGGGGGCUUGCUCCUGGAUUCAGCGGCGGACGGGUGAGUAAUUCCUAGGAAUCUGCCUGGUAGUGGGGGAUAACGUCCGGAAACGGGCGCUAAUACCGCAUACGUCCUGAGGGAGAAAGUGGGGGAUCUUCGGACCUCACGCUAUCAGAUGAGCCUAGGUCGGAUUAGCUAGUUGGUGGGGUAAAGGCCUACCAAGGCGACGAUCCGUAACUGGUCUGAGAGGAUGAUCAGUCACACUGGAACUGAGACACGGUCCAGACUCCUACGGGAGGCAGCAGUGGGGAAUAUUGGACAAAGGGCGAAAGCCUGAUCCAGCCAUGCCGCGUGUGUGAAGAAGGUCUUCGGAUUGUAAAGCACUUUAAGUUGGGAGGAAGGGCAGUAAGUUAAUACCUUGCUGUUUUGACGUUACCAAAAGAAUAAGCACCGGCUAACUUCGUG